UCCGAGUUGACCCCGGCAGUCUCCUGCGAGUCCCCGCCAUUACGCGCUGGCAACACAGGACAAGGGUUGCGCUCGUUGCGGGACUUAACCCAACAUGUCACCACACGAGCUGACGACAGCCAUGCAGCACCUGUCACUCUGUCCGGUUACCCGGAAGGGUGUAUCUCUACACCUGUCAGAGGAUGUCAAACCUAGGUAAGGUUCUGCGCGUUGCUUCGAAUUAAACCACAUGAUCCACCGCUUGUGCGGGCCCCCGUCAAUUCCUUUGAGUUUUAGUCUUGCGACCGUACUUCCCAGGCGGGGUACUUAUUGCGUUAGCUGCGGCUCGGCAGGGGUCAAGACCCGCCAAGCCUAGUACCCAUCGUUUACGGCGUGGACUAC
RNAcentral lists this unclassified non-coding RNA (381 nucleotides) under uncultured delta proteobacterium. Its description in RNAcentral is "contains 16S-23S intergenic spacer region". The record is from RNAcentral. Lineage: Bacteria; Deltaproteobacteria.